AUGAUUCUUGAUUUUCACCUUCUUUCUCCUUCUUUUGCAGGCAACACAGUGGAUGGCAAUGAAGAUGGUCAUGGAGGUUGGAGGACGAGGGAGGCAAGGGUUUCGGAUCUAGGGUUUCAGAGUUUAAAACUCGGAUCCCUUUCAAGCUUCGUCUCCUCUUCUGUGAAUUUGUUAUCCCUCUUUCUUUCUGUGAAUCCUCUUCCUCCCCAUGAUCUCCUAUUCUGUAAUCGCUCCCCCCACUAUAAUUCUUCUUUUCUGUAG
Vicia faba (fava bean) is the source of this 261-nucleotide non-coding RNA. The record is from the annotation of a GenBank genome assembly. NCBI's taxonomy places the organism in Eukaryota, Viridiplantae, Streptophyta, Magnoliopsida, Fabales, Fabaceae.